CCUACGUGAGGCAGCAGUGGGGAAUAUUGCACAAUGGGGGAAACCCUGAUGCAGCGACGCCGCGUGAGUGAAGAAGUAUUUCGGUAUGUCAAGCUCUAUCAGCAGGGAAGAAAAUGACGGUACCUGAUUCAGAAGCCCCGUCUAACUACGUUCCAGCAGCCGCUGUAAUACGUAGGGGGCCAGCGUUCUCCGGAUUUACUGUGUGUAAAGGGAGCGUAGACGGCAGCACAAGUCUGGAGUGAAAUGCCGGGGCUUAACCCCGGAACUGCUUUGGAAACUGUGCAGCUAGAGUGCAGGAGAGGUAAGUGGAAUUCCUAGUGUAGCGGUGAAAUGCGUAGAUAUUAGGAGGAACACCAGUGGCGAAGGCGGCUUACUGGACUGUAACUGACGUGGAGGCUCGAAAGCGUGGGGAGCAAACAGGAUGAGAUACCCGAGUAGUC
This 440-nucleotide ribosomal RNA is filed under the name uncultured bacterium. RNAcentral's name for it is "partial 16S ribosomal RNA". It matches the Rfam family "Bacterial small subunit ribosomal RNA", at positions 338 to 795 of the family's 1533-position model. The record is from RNAcentral.